Long non-coding RNA from Panicum virgatum (switchgrass), 1339 nucleotides. RefSeq lists it as uncharacterized. The transcript has 2 exons. Lineage: Eukaryota; Viridiplantae; Streptophyta; Magnoliopsida; Poales; Poaceae. The record is from RefSeq and is a predicted model, not a curated record.
CCUCCCCCCCCCCCCUCUGAAUCUCGUGCUCGCGCCACCGCUACUGCUGGUGCUCGCCCACUGCCUCCCGUCGAGCAGGGCUGCCAUCGCCAAGGUCCUCCCCCCUCUCGGGCAGCCUCUUCGCCAAGGCCGCUACCAGCUGCGCCGUCCGUCUUCGCGCUGGCGGCCGGAGGCCUCGCAGCACGACGGGACCGGCAGAGGCGCCCUCCUCUAUCUCUUCACACCACUGGUUUAGAUCCCCUUUUCUCUUGCUUGUUUUUUUCUGAUUCAUUCAUGGGCGAUGCAACUUGAGGUCAAGAGAAGGAUGGGAUGAGGAAAUAAGAAGUUAUAGUAAUCUUUUUCUUCUUUGCUCAUGAAGGUUCCCCGAUAUGGUUACAAAUUAUUAGCUAAUUUGGCAACUGCAGCUUCGUUAUUAUUCUAUUGUUCCAAAGGGUCAGUAUUGACCAUCUUUCUUUGUUUUUGAAACGGAUAUGCAUGAGUUGCGGCUUAUCCACACUGAUCUGAAGUCAGAAAACAUACUUCUUGUUUCUUCUGAGUAUAUAAAAGUUCCAAGUUCAAAGUACUUGUUCUCACCCAUUUUUAGUGAUCAUAUGCUAUUUCAUCAAUAGGCUUACUGUAUUAGCAGUUUUCUUGAAUGAUUGCUUGGGGUUGUACAGAAGAGUUCCCAAGAUGAGAUGCUAUGUUCUGUUACACUUCACAUUUAACACUGUUUUCUCCUUCUAUCAAUCCCUCUAGCCUUUUGUAGUACUUUUUCCAAGUUUUUAACCUUUGCUAAAUAGUAAAUACUAAACCUACAUAUAUUGUGCAGCAAUAUAGAACAGAAAUGUAAUGUUUUGGGAAAUAAGAGUGAGGUUCUGCCUUUUCUUCUUUCUUUUGUGAAACUUUUUAUUUGUUUUAUAUCCAGAAAAGCCGGCAGAGCAUGAUAUGCUAUGUUAUUUUUCUUCCUUAUCAGGUUGAUGAACUCUACUCACUUGACCUGGAUCUGCUCAGUGAUCUACAAUUCUUUCGAUGAACCUGUGGAUUGGCUUGCUUCCUUCUGGUGUGAGAUUGCGACUUAGGAAAUAGGACAUUCUCCUAGGAUAUAAUAAUCUAAUAUUCUUUUGGGCUCUUUUGUUCAGAAUGAAUUGAUCUAACUACUUCUGGUUGAACUUAGUUGAUCCUAAUGUUGUGCUAUUCUAGUUGCUAAUGUAAAAAUGGCAUUGUGGCCUUUAUUAGGCACGUGUGGCUUGUAUGCCCUAGUAAUGUAGAAGCACUAUCUAUAUGGACCUAUGCUGGAGGGUUAUGUAUUCUGGAAUAACAAUUGGAUCAUACAUAUAUAUUGUACGAGAUAUUGAUCAUU